GCGCCGCCCAGGGCGGGGUGAGGUGGGGGGAGAGGGGCUCCGCUAUCGAUUGAGGCUGCCUGGAGGGGGCGGCGGCCCGGCUCCCGUUAUUGCCACGGGCGCCCCUGCUGCCCCCGCCCGUCCGCCCGCCGCCGCCGCCAUGUGGAGAGCGGCCGCCGCCGCCGCCUGGGCCCCGGUGCGGGCCCUGUGCCGCGCCCCGCCGCCGCCGCGGCGGCGGCUUGUCAGCGUGGCCGUGUCACCCGCCGCCGGUUUGGCGGACGAGAGGGUGGAGACGCGGGUGGCGGGGCUGGGCCCGGGGCAGCCGGUGACCCUGCGGGCGGUGGCGGCAGAUGAGCGCGGUUGCCUCUUCCAGUCGUGCGCGCAUUACCGGGCGGACAGCCGCGGCGAGCUGCACCUGGGCACGGACGCCUCGCACGGCGGGGACUACACCGGCGUGGAGCCCAUGGGGCUCUUCUGGAGCCUCGCCCCUGCCGGCAUGGAGAGGCCCUACCAGCGGCUCGUUCCCCGCAGCACCGGCACCCCGAUGAAGGUGGAGAUGUUGGUCCACCACGGUCACAGCCUGCCCGGCGCCAUCCCCGGGCCGGUGGUGGCCAAGGCCGAGGUGGAGAGGUGGUUCACGGCGCCCGGCGUGCGGAGGAUCCGGCUGAAGGAGGGAGGCGUGAGGGGCUCCCUCUUCUUGCCGCCGGGGGAUGGCCCCUUUCCAGGAGUGAUUGACAUGUACGGUGAUGAAGGAGGCUUGAUUGAAUUUAGAUCCAGUCUCCUGGCUGCCCGUGGUUUUGCUGCUCUUUCUUUGCCAUAUUUUGACUUUGAAGACCUGCCUAAGGUCAUGAAAGAAUUCAAACUCGAGUACUUUGAGGAAGCAGCUAGAUUCCUACGGCGUCACCCGAAGGUGAAGGGACCAGGAGUUGGAGUGAUUGGGACUGGGAAAGGGGCAGAAUUAGCACUCUCCAUGAUCACCUUCCUGCCAGAAAUAGUGGCUGCUGUCUGUAUCUCCGGCUGUAGUUCAAACACAGUUGCAGACCUCCAUUAUGGUGAGAUGACUCUGCCUGGGCUGCGUUUUGAUAUGAAUAAGGCAAAAGCAACAACUAUCAAAGAAGCUCUAGCGAAAUGGGAAGAGAAAAAUGGCCAGAAGGCUUCAGAGGCAAAGGAGGUGAAACUGUACGGUCAGAUUCCUCCUGUAGAGAAGAUGGAUGAAUCUCUUUCCACACUUGUUAGCUGCGAGAAACUAUCACUGUCUACAAACUGCAUUGAAAGAAUCGCCAACUUGAACAGCCUAAAAAAUUUGAGGAUUCUAUCUUUGGGAAGAAAUAACAUAAAGAACUUGAAUGGAUUGGAGGCAGUUGCAGAUACUUUAGAGGAGCUGUGGAUCUCAUACAACUUCAUUGAGAAACUGAGGGGUAUCCGUGUAAUGAAGAAGCUGAAGGUUCUUUAUAUGUCGAAUAAUUUGGUGAAGGACUGGGCAGAGUUUGUGAGACUGGCAGAGCUGCCAUUACUAGAGGAUCUGGUGUUUGUAGGCAAUCCACUACAAGAGAAAUAUGCCUCUGACCAGAAGAACAAUUGGAUUGAAGAAGCAACCAAACGGGUACCCAAGCUGAAAAAGCUGGACGGUGAGUUUGGGGCGUGAGGCAAUUGGUGUGAGUUAACAGCUUAAUAUAAAGACAACCACAGGGAAAUUAAUCAUAACCUCAGAAACGCAUUUGUGUGCCCAUGUUAUAUUCCUCCCUCCUCUCUGUGGAAUUAGUCAGAAGUAGGCUAACUUUCAGCAGCUGAAUUUUGCAGCCCUGGCUGCAGGAUGUUCUGAAAGCAUUUGAUGGUUUUUGGAGUAUUAAGCCCGACCGCUUGUGGCCCACAGCAGGCCUUUACUCUUGAAGUUAUCCAGUCAGAUAGUUCUAGCACGUAACUACUAAUGAACUGAAACACACUGGUUUGAAGUUCUCUUGUGGAGUUCAUUUGUUGACUUGCAUAAUCAUAUAGUUCAGUGUUUAGCAUUAAAUAAGAAGGCUUUCAUCUGCCAUGCUGAAUUACAGUUUUCUGCAACAAAAGAGGGUGACAUGGGGGAAUGGGGACAGGGAUAUGUUCUGUUUUGCUCUGGUGCAGGGGCAAGUUAUCAAAACUUGAAGCAAGUUUCCUAAAUGCCUGAAUAUCCCCUUCUUGUCACCGCACUAAGCCUCAAUUUAUAAGCUGUCCUCUCUUUUUUUGGUCACUGAUACGAAAAUAUAUUAAAGCAUGUUCUGAUGACUGAAAGUGAGAUAAUUUUAAAAUUGAUUUUUAAAGAUGUUAAUUUCUGUUAAUGGAGAUGUUAGCUGUUCACUGUUAUCUGCUGUUUAAUAAAGCAGUGAAGAGGAGACACCAGUAACACUAAUAAAGAGUUGGAGUAACAGCAGGGAAGGUACGAGCGUAGGGAUGGCGACAAGAGGACAUCAUCCGCACAGGGAGCAAUGGGUGGGAGAUCAAAGCCAGAUCAACUGCAGUAGUAGGAAUUCUUGGGAAGUGGAAGCCUGGUGAGAUGUGUGCUGCUGUGAAGGAUGGCCUGCAGUAGUCCAUUUGCUGUUGUAGUGGAAAGCAUUUUGAGUGAAACAAAAAAUGGAAUAGGCUGAGUAGCUGUACAGGCAAAGAGUAACCUUGUAAGUGUAAGGUUAGACCCUUGGUUUCUUAAGCAUUCCUGCAGCUGGGAGCAAUGGACAGCUCUGAAUUAGGCAGGUACAUUUCCUGUGCAAUGUAGAGAGGAUGAUAUUUAAGAAUGGAAACCACAAACACUAGAGCGUUGGGCACAAAAGAAGUUAGAAAUGCUGUAACUGGCCGUAAGGUUCUUGCUGUUACACUGUCCCAGGAUCCCGUUAUGUUUAUGUACUAUAUGUGAGAGGACUAAUACAGGGACCUCAAAAUUACUGAAAUGGUUGAAGAUCUUCUGGACAAAAAUAAGCACUGAAAGCCUCUUUCAGCAGGUAUCCUAGUUAUUAAGCAAGAAGAAGAAGAAGAAGGAGCAAACUGAUGGCACUUUCUUAUUGGGUAUUUAUUUAAGUAACUCCAGCUAGCUCAGUGCAUAGAACUUUUAUAUAAAUGUUUUUGAAGAAAAUCUUUGGGCAGUUUUUAAAAACCAGCUUCUCUCCACAGCCUGUCACCCAAAGAGUUGGUUACCAAAAUUCGGGCACACCAAUUUUGUCAAGCUUGUGACACCUUCUGCACAGAGCAGUGGAGCUGAGUUUAUCUGCUCUUUGGCUAGCAAGAGAGCUUUACCUAAAUUAAUACAUAGCUUUUUUUUAAUCCCUGAUUAGUGGUGCUUGUCAUUCACUCCUGGGUGAUAAUAGAACCGUUUUAGGUCAUUACGUACAGCUGGCCAACAUUGUCAUUGGAAACUGAAGCCAAAAGAACAAUGGUGUGGUUUAGAGACAGGCUUUGUUGUGUUUAAUUUUGUCAUGGGAGUCCCUCAGUAUUUUAAAUAUGUGCGUUUGCCUUUUCAUUCCCUUACUGUUAUGCCAGACAGGCCAGGUAGUCGUGGACCUAUGCACAAAAAAGGUAUUGGCCUGAUGAGCGCUUGUUGCUGGCCUUAACUUUUGAACUGGGCUUCUCGCGUUGGAACUCAACUGCAUUGCCGAGGCGGCCAUGUGUAACUUAUGUGUUUAUUUAUUUUAAAGAGGCAAUGGGAAUUCGUUGCAUGUGUUCAGUGAGACUAAAAUAUUUGCUAGCU
Non-coding RNA from Phalacrocorax carbo (great cormorant), 3688 nucleotides. The record is from RefSeq and is a predicted model, not a curated record. NCBI's taxonomy places the organism in Eukaryota, Metazoa, Chordata, Aves, Suliformes, Phalacrocoracidae.